Non-coding RNA from Misgurnus anguillicaudatus (oriental weatherfish), 1092 nucleotides. NCBI's taxonomy places the organism in Eukaryota, Metazoa, Chordata, Actinopteri, Cypriniformes, Cobitidae. The record is from RefSeq and is a predicted model, not a curated record.
UACUUUAUUGUAUUUCAAGUAUAUUUAACUUUGCAAUAGUAAAUUACAAAUAUACUUACAAAGGAAUGUACUUUCUUUAAACAUAUUUAAAGUAUACUUACAACAUAUUUGCGCGUAUUUUUUACAAAUAAACUUUUAACAUACUUCAAAAUAAUUAUACUUUAGUAUAUUUUCUAAAAGUAUACUUUAGAAAAAUAUACUUAAAGUUAAAGUUUUGUGCAAUUUUUAAAGUAUACUAAAUUUAAACUUAUUUUAAAAUGUAUUUUAGGUAUACUUUAUCGGUAUGCUUAAAGUUAUCAUUAUAAUAAUGCACUGACAGUAUAUUUCUAAAAUACAUUAUUUAGUAUUCUUUAGAAACAGUAUAUUUUAAGCACAUUUUGAAAGUAUAUGGGGUGUACACAUGUAUAUUAUUUUAUGGAGAAAUAACGUGGGCUUAAAAUUACGAGAGAGCAGUAUGUUCUGUUACAUUUUAUAUUGUAGAUGUAUACAUUUGUAAUAUACUAUUAACAUAAUAAGGUACACUUUAACUUCACUAUAGUCAAGCAUUGGAUAAACCAAUGAACUGUGUUUUACCACAAAAUUACCAUGGUUUUGCUAAUAAUAAUCAAUACACCAAAAAAAAACAUGGUUACUAAAUUUUUACCAUAAAAAAAACAUUCAUUUUCGUAAGGGGAAUAUGAGUGUUUGUUUUGUUUUUUUGUAGUCAAUUGCAUACCGCUUUUAGCUGUACACAUUAAUUAACUUAAACAGUUUUCGUAAAUGCAUUUCAGAGAAAAGUGAAUUUUGAGAUUUGAAUAAUGCAUCUGACGUGUGGGAUGACGUCACGACGCACGUAUUUUGAUUUUUACCAGUCGUUCAAGACAGACGGAUUCAGUCCCAAGAAGCUAAAGUUUUUCAAAGACAUUUGUAGGGAGGACUUUGCAGCUAAUGAUUUCCUAAGGCUGAACCCAAACCUGCCAGACUAAAGUUGAUUUGGGAGAGAAAGACGUUGUAAACUUAAUCAUCUUGACAUUCUUCAAUGAGUAAUUGUUCAAUAUUUAGGCAAAUACUGUACACUUUGAAUGCUGUGAAUAAAACUAUAUUUCAAAUAUA